Molecule: long non-coding RNA, 245 nt
Filed under: Lathyrus oleraceus (garden pea)
Lineage: Eukaryota; Viridiplantae; Streptophyta; Magnoliopsida; Fabales; Fabaceae
Description: Pisum sativum (pea) long non-coding RNA (PSAT_LNC035765)
Source: RNAcentral
UUUUAUCAAUCCUAAAAACCAAAGCCAUGACCAAUAGACUUCAUCAACCAUUCAACAACAAAGGCAUGAAAAAGUCAACAAAAAGGUCAAAAUAAAAUAAAUAAAGUGUGAAAUAAAAUAAAUGGUUAAAAAAUAAUUAAGGUGUAUUUACAAAAUAUUUUGAUUAAAGUAAAAUGAAUGGUGAAAUAUAUGUAAAAGAAAAUGAAAUAAAAUGUGAAAAUAAGAAAAAGAAAAGGGAAAAAGAG